Molecule: transfer RNA, 68 nt
Filed under: Excidobates captivus (Rio Santiago poison frog)
Lineage: Eukaryota; Metazoa; Chordata; Amphibia; Anura; Dendrobatidae
Description: tRNA-Trp
Source: RNAcentral
GAACUUAGGAUCAAUUAAACCUGAGGCCUUCAAAGCCUUAAAUAGAAGUGAAACUCUUCUAGCUCCUG